ACCUGAUAACACAUUAAAAUGGAGGAGAAUUAACUAGAACCCGGAUGUCACAGAGUUACUAAGAAUUAACUACCUGGCUGGGUGUAUGUACAGGCACAAAAAUGUAACUAACAUUUCUGAACAGUGAUAAACAAUAUAAAAUGAAUUAAUUCCACGAGACUUCGUAAAAGAACAACUCCGUGGACUAGCAUCUUUUGUUGUCAACAACCAUGCAAGAAAUGAGAUUAAAACACGUUGAAAGCUUCCUGCUGCAAAGCAUUCUCUUUAAGCUUCCAUUUCAUCAGAAAAUUUGUGUUCAGAAUCUCUAAAAGCUGCCUCUGCAGGCUUUAAAACCAAUAUAAGGGGAAGAUAGUCAUGGACAAAGUAAGUUAUGAAGUGGUAGCCCAGAUUGCUGUAUGGCAAUAAUACUAUCAUUUUGUCAUAAGAUAAAUCAAAGUUAAUAUGAAUUGAAUUCACACUUUAAUCCCUCUUCCUUUUAAUGGAUUUUUUUUUCCAAUACAGUCAAAUUUUAGAUUAACAAGUACAUAUAUGCAUGCUGUAUACAAGAUGAAGCGUCAUUUCAUAAUCAAUAUUAGAUAAUUUGACAAGAGAAAUACUUAAUUCCAAGUGUUAUAUGUGAUGAAGUAUAAUAGUUAGGAUAACUUUUAAGUUUGAUAAUAGUUGUCAAAGCCACAUUCUGAAGACUACCAAGUCACAAUAAGGAUUUCCUUGCAUCAAAGUUUGAACAAAAAAGAUAGAAAAGAAAUGCCCAAAUGAACCAUCAUUUUAGAUAAUGUAUGAGAAGGCUUUUUCAAAGGCAAGUCCAAACGUAAAUUGAACAGGAAGAGGGGCCUCUAGUCAUCCCACAUAAGUUUUUCAAGUUCACUUAAAUCUUGACAUUCUUCAAAAACGAAUUACAAUAUUAUGAGUAUCCAACAUUAAACAAAAUUUAUUUAUUCGCAUAGAAUCAAGAUAUACAGCACAGUAACAAUUUACAAAGGAUAAGACUGAGCACUUUUAACAUUCCAAAGGAAAAAAGGAUAUCCAUUAAGUCACAGAUUACUGAAAAUGUGAAAGGCAAAUUAGAAUAGCAAAAGCACCAAUACAUAUGAAUGGGAACUACAGAAACAAUGAUGUAAAAUAACAACAUCCAUACAGAGAAUAUCAGAUACAGCAACUAAAUGAGGGAAUAUCUAGUAGUCUGUUGUCUUUACUGCAUGGAUAGAAGAAACUUAGAGCUUUCUGAACCAGUUUUCUAGUAGAUUAUAGUUUGUUUUAAAUUUCUUAACUUGAUAAGAUGAUUUUCUUAGUUGGCUAACCAUUUGCUUUUGAAUUCAAGGUAGAACUUAACUUUCUAAAAAUUUCAAGUAUGACCAGCGCAAAAAAAAUUAUAAUUUUGCUGUAGCUUGGGUUGAGGUAGUUCUAAAGUUGCAUAAUAAUUGAAAAUGAUUUAGUUAUCUAUUUAGGACCCUUCUUAUCAACGAACUUGGGGACUUGAUGGCAGCUUCCAGCAUAAGUAUUGUUUAAGAAAAAGUGCUUUCACCUACCUCUUUCUGCUAGAUUUUCUUUCUCUAAAAGGGACUGGAACUCCACUUCUCAUUACUCUCCUAACAACUCUCUGAUCUAAAACCAAAAACUCAUAUUCUUUUUUCUCAUAUCAUCCACAUACAUUGAAUGGAAAGAAAAGUACUUGAUGGGAAUCUGUAGUGCCCAUAGAUGCAUCCAGCCUUUUCCCCUUGGGUAGGUUCAUCUGCUUUUUAUGCUCCUUUUUUUUUCUAAUGAUGAAUUUGUUAUGCCUCAAGUCAUAUCAAUUUAGUAGUGAAGCAAAUUAUAGUUUUACCGGAAUUUUUUUUUUCUGUUUCCAAAUACUCAGAACAAAGACUCAGGUGCACAAGCAAGUUGAGGAAGCCAGGACAAGGGAACAAGUUAUAGCCAACUGGAGGAUACCGAUGCAUGAAGAAUAAAUAAGUAAUAAAUAAAUAAAACUUAUAUUUUAGGAACAACAGAGUUUAUUCUAUUUUGUAUGUUAAUAACGAAAAAAAUAGUUAACAUUACUAAGGUUUUCAGAAACUCAUGGUAGUUUUAUAACUUCAUAAUGUAAGCAGUUUAGAGUUUUAGUUAAUUAAGUACAAACUUGAUUUUGGAUAGAAAUGUAGUAAGUGUGUAUCCAGGCAUCCUUUCUUUGAGAUAAAUUGCUGUUAAAAAUUCGAGUAUAGACUACUUGCUUAUGAGGAUUACAAUGUAAAGUGAUUCACCUAAAUACAUGCAAAACUUUGGGUUUGGUGGUUAUACAAUAUAUUAUAGAAUCGAUUAUUGAUUGAAGAACACGUUCUUCAACAUUAAUUAGGCUUUUCUAUACUCUGCUCUCUUCACCAAAAUUGGUUGGUGCUCCAACUCCUAGUGUAUGACAAACCAAUGUCAAAUUAGAAAAUGGAUCUGUUUUUCUUUUUAUUUUCCCUCCUUCAUCAUGACCCCUAUGCCAUGCUGUCUGUUUCUUUAUUUAGAGCUCAUCCACUUUAGAACACAUCCAUUUCACCCUCUUGUGUUCCAAUUUCUUCACAACUGCUCCAUCUUUUCAGUUCUCCAGAGGUUGCUACUUGAUGCACAAUCCAAGGUUCGGAUUGGGCAGUAUUUAUUCAAGACAAGAGUGGGUGAAACAACUGCUCCCAGAUGAAUGGCAACGCUUUUCAAAUAAGAAUUCAUUGAGUUCAACCAAAAAAACGACAUGAAAAAAAUAAAGAACUACGGUACCCGUAGUUAAUCUGAGUUAUAUGAGAUUAAGAAAUGGAAGAACAAUUUUGCAAAAGAAGCGGUAUCCCAUCUAGAAGAUAAUUGCUGAUAACAGCUAAGUUCUUCUGUUCUUUUAAAUUGUCGAAAUAUUUUUUUUUUUGGAACACUCGUACCAGAUGAAUACAAGUGCAUCCUCUAAAAUAAGGCGUCGAGAAAAUCGUGGACCCAUUUAAAAAUUAAAACCCCCACGCAACACAGCAUCACGGCAUCACAGAUGUUGAUGCUAGUGCUGCAAGGAAUGGAGGAGGAGGUACCUUGAGGCCGGGAGUAUUGCCUUUGGUGACUCGAUUCUCAGCAAUGUGGCAGGCCAUGACUUCUUCCCACCGAAAGUUGAAUCGUGACACCAAAAGGGUAGUGAAGAAGGGGACCUGGAGAGAGCAAGGAGGAAGAGUGGAGUCAGAAUGGAGGCGGACGCGAGCAAGUAGUCGAGGGAAGAGGUGAGAAGGGGGGAGUUGUCGCUUGUCGGGCCUG
RNAcentral lists this long non-coding RNA (3240 nucleotides) under Phoenix dactylifera (date palm). RNAcentral describes it as "long non-coding RNA (PDAC_LNC005826)". Lineage: Eukaryota; Viridiplantae; Streptophyta; Magnoliopsida; Arecales; Arecaceae. The record is from RNAcentral.